Molecule: long non-coding RNA, 506 nt
Organism: Pan troglodytes (chimpanzee)
Lineage: Eukaryota; Metazoa; Chordata; Mammalia; Primates; Hominidae
Exons: 4
Source: RefSeq, a predicted model, not a curated record
GAUACAAGAAUAAGUCAUAAUUAUGUAGCCAGACUUGAAAACUCAUGGCGGGCCAGAAGCUACGAAGACAUCGAAGAGAUGGGAAGCAGAUAGGAAGUGGCAUCAAUCAGCUGAGUUUUCACACAAUAUCAGAUUUGUAAACAGACUUAACUCAUUGAGAAGUUAAGUCACUCAUCUGUCCUGCAAUCUCGGCCAACUUGGUGUUUGAAAGGCCAUCAAUGGAUUGAAUGAUGCUGCCCACAUUGGUGAGGAUGGAUAUUCUUUGCUCAGUCUACUGAUUCAAAUGUGAAUCUCUUCCAGAAACACCCUCACAGACACACCAAGAAAUAAUGUUUUACCAGGGGCAGCAUUGGCCUGCCGAAAUCUACUUCUUCCCAUUUUUAAGCAAAAAUCUACCACAGCAUAUUUUGGAUUGAUGUACACUGAUAUCAGCUAUCAUAUAUCAAUCAAUGAAGAAAUACCAGUGGAGAAGUAUUUUAUGUAAAAUAAACCACAAGUAUUGCUAA